This 440-nucleotide ribosomal RNA is filed under the name uncultured bacterium. RNAcentral describes it as "partial 16S ribosomal RNA". It matches the Rfam family "Bacterial small subunit ribosomal RNA", at positions 338 to 795 of the family's 1533-position model. The record is from RNAcentral.
CCUACGGGAGGCAGCAGUGGGGAAUAUUGCACAAUGGGGGAAACCCUGAUGCAGCGACGCCGCGUGAGUGAAGAAGUAUUUCGGUAUGUAAAGCUCUAUCAGAAGGGAAGAAAAUGACGGUACCUGAUUAAGAAGCCCCGGCUAACUACGUGCCAGCAGCCGCGGUAAUACGUAGGGGGCAAGCGUUAUCCGGAUUUACUGGGUGGAAAGGGAGCGUAGACGGCAGCAGAAGGCUGGAGUGAAAUGCCGGGGCUUAACCCCGGAACUGCUUGGGAAACUGGGCAGCUAGAGUGCAGGAGAGGUGAGUGGAAUUCCUAGUGUAGCGGUGAAAUGCGUAGAUAUUAGGAGGAACACCAGUGGCGAAAGCGGCUUACUGGACUGUAACUGACGUUGAGGCUCGAAAGCGUGGGGAGCAAACAGGAUUAGAUACCCGGGUAGUC